Molecule: ribosomal RNA, 434 nt
Filed under: uncultured Robinsoniella sp.
Lineage: Bacteria; Bacillati; Bacillota; Clostridia; Lachnospirales; Lachnospiraceae
Description: partial 16S ribosomal RNA
Rfam family: Bacterial small subunit ribosomal RNA
Source: RNAcentral
ACGGGAGGCAGCAGUGGGGAAUAUUGGACAAUGGGGGAAACCCUGAUCCAGCGACGCCGCGUGAGUGAAGAAGUAUUUCGGUAUGUAAAGCUCUAUCAGCAGGGAAGAUAAUGACGGUACCUGACUAAGAAGCCCCGGCUAACUACGUGCCAGCAGCCGCGGUAAUACGUAGGGGGCAAGCGUUAUCCGGAUUUACUGGGUGUAAAGGGAGCGUAGACGGCAUAGCAAGUCUGAAGUGAAAGGCAGGGGCUCAACCCCUGGACUGCUUUGGAAACUGUUAAGCUAGAGUGCAGGAGAGGUAAGUGGAAUUCCUAGUGUAGCGGUGAAAUGCGUAGAUAUCAGGAGGAACACCGGUGGCGAAGGCGGCCUGCUGGACAGUAACUGACGCUGAGGCUCGAAAGCGUGGGGAGCAAACAGGAUUAGAUACCCUGGUA